This 519-nucleotide ribosomal RNA is filed under the name uncultured eukaryote. Its description in RNAcentral is "SSU rRNA". It matches the Rfam family "Eukaryotic small subunit ribosomal RNA", at positions 1161 to 1699 of the family's 1831-position model. The record is from RNAcentral.
AGGGCACCACCAGGAGUGGAGCCUGCGGCUUAAUUUGACUCAACACGGGGAAACUUACCCGGCCUGGACACUGGAAGGAUUGACAGAUUGAGAGCUCUUUCUUGAUUCAGUGGGUGGUGGUGCAUGGCCGUUCUUAGUUGGUGGAGCGAUUUGUCUGGUUAAUUCCGAUAACGAACGAGACUCUAGCCUAUUAAAUAGGCUCUCGGCUUUUAAACGCCGGGAGGACUUCUUAGAGGGACAGGUGGCGGUUCAGCCGCACGAAAGAGAGCAAUAACAGGUCUGUGAUGCCCUUUGUUGUCCGGGGCCGCACGCGCGCUACACUGAAGAGAUCAGCGUGCUUUACGUUCCUGCUCCGACCGGAGUGGGGAACCCAGUGAACCUUCUUCGUGAUUGGGAUAGAAGAUUGUAAUUAUUCUUCUUGAACGAGGAAUUCCCAGUAAAUGCGAGUCAUAAGCUCGCGUUGAUUACGUCCCUGCCCUUUGUACACACCGCCCGUCGCUACUACCGGUUGAACGAUUU